UCGGGCUGAACACGGUGCGCUUCACCUCGGAGUUCCCACUCCACUCCAAGGAUCCAACAGCGCACAAGCUGCUCUUCACGGGCAACUACCUCUGCAAGCUUCACCCCCGGCCCCGCCACGCCCCGCAGGGUUCCCUGUCUGGUCUGGAUCACCUCGCUCUCCCUGCGCCUCUCUCCUUGGCCUAGCUAGACAAGUGCUUCUCACGAUCCAGCGCGUUUACCGCUCGGUUUCGUCGCCGCUAAGGGGUGGUGGUGUCUGAUCCGUCAGGCUCUGCGCUUCUCUCUCGGAUCCAUCCUCAAUGUCCAGGCAGGACUCUCACAUGAAGCCGGUGCUGUCUGCUGUUCACUCUAAGAUGUCCAGCCACUCAGGACAGUUACGAUCUGUCAUCCAGGGCCCAAACCGACUCUCCUCUAUUGCUAUCUGAGACUCUUCCACCUGUAUGCCCAUCUUCAUAGACCGGCCCAUCACUGGUGCCUCAAGCAUUUUCACUAUCACAGCCAGUAAUCUGCAGACUCAACCUCAAGCCUACUUUGUACUUUGGUAUAAACUGCAUGGAUACCAAUCCCUUUUCACAGGUUUUCAUCUCCUGGUCUCCCAUAGGAUCCAGGAUGAGUAUCCUCCCAUUUGACCAGUUCCAUCCCAGUAUGGAGCAGAUAUCCCUUGUAAAGAACACAGUCUCCACCAGCCCACCUGCUUUUAUGGUCAACAGCCCUACCUGAAUUUCCAACAUUGCCUUUUGACCCAAGAAACACCUAUCACCUGAAAUCUAGGGUUCCAGACAGGCAUCAACAGGAAACCACUCUCUUCAAUGCCCUGUCUUUUCUGGCCCACCUACCACUGCUUCUGCAGUCACCUCCACUAUAGUAAGCAGACCCUCUUCAGACUUGGCAUCCAAGCCUGCCUUUUACUCUGAUGAAAUCAACAUGGAUACCAUGCCCAUUUCCCCAUCUGUUAUCUUCCUGUCUCUCCCUGCAAUGUUAACAGCUGUUUCCCUUUGAAGAACCUGGCAGCCCCCAGAAAUCCUUCCUACUUAACCUCUACUGCAGCCCUGGAACCCAAUGACAGCACCACUCAGGCAGCUUUUGGGAAUUUGACUCCCCCAUGUCCACCUUUGGCAUCUGCUAUGGUUUGAAUGUGUCAACCAAAUUUCGUGUAUUAAAAACUCAAUCCCCAA
Molecule: long non-coding RNA, 1174 nt
Filed under: Homo sapiens (human)
Lineage: Eukaryota; Metazoa; Chordata; Mammalia; Primates; Hominidae
Description: HSALNT0397567
Source: RNAcentral